Molecule: ribosomal RNA, 254 nt
Filed under: uncultured bacterium
Lineage: Bacteria
Description: partial 16S ribosomal RNA
Rfam family: Bacterial small subunit ribosomal RNA
Source: RNAcentral
UACGUAGGGUGCGAGCGUUGUCCGGAAUUAUUGGGCGUAAAGAGCUCGUAGGCGGUCUGUCGCGUCGGUCGUGAAAACUUGGGGCUUAACCCUGAGCUUGCGGUCGAUACGGGCAUGACUGGAGUUCGGUAGGGGAGACUGGAAUUCCUGGUGUAGCGGUGAAAUGCGCAGAUAUCAGGAGGAACACCGGUGGCGAAGGCGGUGCUCUGGGCCGGAACUGACGCUGAGGAGCGAAAGCGUGGGGAGCAAACAGG